This 253-nucleotide ribosomal RNA is filed under the name uncultured bacterium. RNAcentral's name for it is "partial 16S ribosomal RNA". It matches the Rfam family "Bacterial small subunit ribosomal RNA", at positions 524 to 776 of the family's 1533-position model. The record is from RNAcentral.
UACAGAGGGUGCGAGCGUUACUCGGAAUUACUGGGCGUAAAGCGUGCGUAGACGGUUAUUUAAGUCGGAUGUGAAAGCCCCGGGCUCAACCUGGGAAUUGCAUUCGAGACUGAAUAGCUAGGGUGCGGUAGAGGGAAGCGGAAUUUCCGGUGUAGCGGUGAAAUGCGUAGAUAUCAGGAGGAACACCAAUAGCGAAGGCAGCUCGCUGGGACGGUACUGACGCUAAGGCGCGAAAGCGUGGGGAGCGAACAGG